Molecule: unclassified non-coding RNA, 345 nt
Filed under: soil metagenome
Description: partial contains 5.8S ribosomal RNA, internal transcribed spacer 2, and large subunit ribosomal RNA
Rfam family: 5.8S ribosomal RNA (bases 1-120)
Source: RNAcentral
GAUGAAGAACGUAGCGAAAUGCGAUAAGUAAUGUGAAUUGCAGAAUUCCGUGAAUCAUCGAAUCUUUGAACGCACAUUGCGCCCUCUGGUAUUCCGGGGGGCAUGCCUGUCCGAGCGUCAUUUGCAACCCUCAAGCCCGGCUUGUGUGAUGGGUGCCGUCCCCUACGGGACGCGCCCCAAAGGCAAUGGCGGCGUCGCGGUUAUCCGAUCAGCCAAAGUGUAUGGGGCUUUGUCACUCACUUUACGGCCCGGACCGGCGCCAGUCCGAAUCAAUCUUUUUUCUAAAGUUGACCUCGGAUCAGGUAGGGAUACCCGCUGAACUUAAGCAUAUCAAUAAGCGGAGGA